GAUUUUAUUCUGUGGAAACAUGUGAGCAGUGUUGGGUGGGCAGAACCAUCAGGCCACCCUUGAGAGUCUGCAGACACAGCACAGCAAGGUCUGGAGGAGCCUCAGCAGAAGCCUCUGGGGGCUCGGAUUCCCCCAGAAAUCGUGCACAGGUUAUUGGGUGCAUGUGUGCAUUUCCCUGAUAAGAAGGCCUACGGCCUCUAUCAGGCUCUUGGAGUCUGUGACAUCCGAGAGAUGUUGAGAAAGCUUCAGGAGUAGCCUUGGAGGAAGCCCUGGAGGGAGGUGAGGGAGGUUUGCUGGCCGAUGGGGAGGCUCUUUGUCCUAGAAGACAGGGAGGGGCCCGGAUUAGCCUGAGCCACUGCCACCUCCAGUCUUUUCCCUUUGGCUGGAAAAGGGAGCGAGGGCCCCCCCAGCCCUGAGGCUGCCAGCGUCCCCAGUGUGAUCCGGAGGGACUAGAGAGAACAGAAAGAAGCCGGCAGCAGAAGCAGCCAUGGGGCCUUUGGCCUGUAUCACGUUGGCUCCUGGCUCAGGGGUCAGUCAGGCCGCCCCGUCCUGGGGCCCCUGGCGUGUGUACUCUGCAUCCCUUCAUCUCCUCCGAGAGCUGCUCCACCAGCCGCACCAACCCGGAAGCCAAGGGGUGGGGCUCCUGGCUCCCGCCGGAAGUUCCCCCCCAGCCACUGGGCCAGGCCCCAGGUGUCACUAACGAGCCACCUGCCGGUCUGACCUUUGCCCUCCGCUGGCGCGAGACUUUGCCUGGGUUGUCGACACCAGCUUCUGCCUUGGAGCCGAGGAGGAGGGUCUGGCUCACGACAUUUCGGCAUUUCCACAGGCAGCCUCGCUCCCCGACGCGGCCGACAGUUCCCGGUAGGCAUCCCCGGGCUUCUUCCUCCUUGGGGACUGGUUAAAGCUGGACCUACAUCCCCAACAGCUCCCACCCUACCUUUGCAUCUCUGGCCCUCCCUUUCCAGAUGUCACCCGUCCCCAGUCAGCCAGAGGAAACACUCCUUGGGCUAAUUGACCCUGUGGUCCUGUGAGCUCAGCUGGAAGGUUUUAUUUGCCUCCUGUGGGCGCAGUCGGCAUUGGGUGGGGCUGGCUGUGACACGGGAGCAGUCUUGUGGCCCAGGAGGGCUGGACAAAGGGCACUCGGCCUCUAGAAACCUAAUAAAAAGAGCUCCUAUGUAUGGGG
RNAcentral lists this long non-coding RNA (1183 nucleotides) under Sus scrofa (pig). RNAcentral describes it as "lncRNA (ENSSSCG00025040755.1)". The record is from RNAcentral. Lineage: Eukaryota; Metazoa; Chordata; Mammalia; Artiodactyla; Suidae.